CAGCAGCCGCGGGAACACGUAGGUGGCAAGCGUUGUCCGGAAUUAUUGGGCGUAAAGCGCGCGCAGGUGGUUUAAUAAGUCUGAUGUGAAAGCCCACGGCUCAACCGUGGAGGGUCAUUGGAAACUGUUAAACUUGAGUGCAGGAGAGAAAAGUGGAAUUCCUAGUGUAGCGGUGAAAUGCGUAGAGAUUAGGAGGAACACCAGUGGCGAAGGCGGCUUUUUGGCCUGUAACUGACACUGAGGCGCGAAAGCGUGGGGAGCAAACAGGAUUAGAUACCCGCGUAGUCCCUGUCUCUUAUAC
Molecule: ribosomal RNA, 301 nt
Filed under: uncultured bacterium
Lineage: Bacteria
Description: partial 16S ribosomal RNA
Rfam family: Bacterial small subunit ribosomal RNA
Source: RNAcentral